AUAAUGCAGUCGAGCGACAGAUAAGGAGCUUGCUCCUUUGACGUUAGCGGCGGACGGGUGAGUAACACGUGGGUAACCUACCUAUAAGACUGGAAUAACUCCGGGAAACCGGGGCUAAUGCCGGAUAACAUUUAGAACCGCAUGGUUCUAAAGUGAAAGAUGGUUUUGCUAUCACUUAUAGAUGGACCCGCGCCGUAUUAGCUAGUUGGUAAGGUAACGGCUUACCAAGGCAACGAUACGUAGCCGACCUGAGAGGGUGAUCGGCCACACUGGAACUGAGACACGGUCCAGACUCCUACGGGAGGCAGCAGUAGGGAAUCUUCCGCAAUGGGCGAAAGCCUGACGGAGCAACGCCGCGUGAGUGAUGAAGGUCUUCGGAUCGUAAAACUCUGUUAUUAGGGAAGAACAAAUGUGUAAGUAACUAUGCACGUCUUGACGGUACCUAAUCAGAAAGCCACGGCUAACUACGUGCCAGCAGCCGCGGUAAUACGUAGGUGGCAAGCGUUAUCCGGAAUUAUUGGGCGUAAAGCGCGCGUAGGCGGUUUCUUAAGUCUGAUGUGAAAGCCCACGGCUCAACCGUGGAGGGUCAUUGGAAACUGGGAAACUUGAGUGCAGAAGAGGAAAGUGGAAUUCCAUGUGUAGCGGUGAAAUGCGCAGAGAUAUGGAGGAACACCAGUGGCGAAGGCGACUUUCUGGUCUGUAACUGACGCUGAUGUGCGAAAGCGUGGGGAUCAAACAGGAUUAGAUACCCUGGUAGUCCACGCCGUAAACGAUGAGUGCUAAGUGUUAGGGGGUUUCCGCCCCUUAGUGCUGCAGCUAACGCAUUAAGCACUCCGCCUGGGGAGUACGACCGCAAGGUUGAAACUCAAAGGAAUUGACGG
RNAcentral lists this ribosomal RNA (881 nucleotides) under Staphylococcus cohnii. RNAcentral's name for it is "bacterial SSU rRNA". It matches the Rfam family "Bacterial small subunit ribosomal RNA", at positions 51 to 916 of the family's 1533-position model. The record is from RNAcentral. Lineage: Bacteria; Bacillati; Bacillota; Bacilli; Caryophanales; Staphylococcaceae.